This is a long non-coding RNA of Zonotrichia leucophrys gambelii, 904 nucleotides long. RefSeq lists it as uncharacterized. The transcript has 4 exons. NCBI's taxonomy places the organism in Eukaryota, Metazoa, Chordata, Aves, Passeriformes, Passerellidae. The record is from RefSeq and is a predicted model, not a curated record.
CCGCCCCGCCCUGGGGCGGGACCGGGACCGCUCGAGCGGGAGCGCGCUGUGAAUCGGCACCGGGUCCGGGUCCGGGACCGGGACCGCCCGAGCGGGAGCGCGCCGUGAAUCGGCACCGGGUCCGGGUCCGGGACCGCCCGAGCGGGAGCGCGCUGUGAAUCGGCACCGGUACCGCCCGGCUGUCCCAGCAGUUACCGCGAUCCGCAGCUGCUGCCCCUGCCAGACCGGAAUGGCUACAGUGAUACAAUUCCCUAACGGGGACGCUGUUUCAGAAGAUUUGGAAAACAAAAAUAAGGCUCUUUGUAUCGCCAGAGCAGCUGCCCUGCCGUGCUGCUCCCUCGGCAGCCUCGCGGGAAAUUCAAGGUAGAGAAUGGUCUUUAGAAAAGUUAACUUCCAACCACGGUUUCAAAAUUGCCUGUAAAGAAAAUCCACCUCAGAAAUUGUUGAGCUGCUCUUCAAUUCCCAGCACUGCUCAGGCCUGUGCCUUGCUCACAGCCCAGGAGCUUUACUUUGAGCUGAAGUGCAAAUGCAGAUUUCCAGCAGUGGUGUCCCACAGAGUUGAUAGGGUCUAUGCAGUCAUUUACAGCAGAAUUUUGCUUCACAAUCUUUCAGGUGGGUCAGGACACACUGGGGGCAAUUCCAGUAAAGCUCCCUGGGCACUCCUGGGACCUUCACAGCCGGCUCAGCUUGGGCACAAACCUCCAGGAGCCCAGCCUGGCACUGCUUGGGUACCUGCAGGCCCCUUCUAGAAAAGUCUGGCUUGAUAUUGCAUUUCAAAGCCUUUUCUGAACAGAACGCUUGCUGAAUCUUUGCAAUGUGAUAAUGCCCAGCUGCUGAAACCAAAGCUAAGGCACCUUUUAGAGGCUGGUGUUUGUUGUGGUGUGUUCCAGGCGGCUGAGGCAGU